This 253-nucleotide ribosomal RNA is filed under the name uncultured bacterium. Its description in RNAcentral is "partial 16S ribosomal RNA". It matches the Rfam family "Bacterial small subunit ribosomal RNA", at positions 524 to 776 of the family's 1533-position model. The record is from RNAcentral.
UACAGAGGGUGCGAGCGUUGUUCGGAAUUAUUGGGCGUAAAGUGCGCGUAGGCGGUGCGGUAAGUCACCUGUGAAAUCUCCUGGCUCAACUGGGAGCUUGCAGGCGAAACUGCCGUGCUGGAGUGUGGGAGAGGUGCGUGGAAUUCCUGGUGUAGCGGUGAAAUGCGUAGAUAUCAGGAGGAACACCUGUGGCGAAAGCGGCGCACUGGACCACAACUGACGCUGAGGCGCGAAAGCUAGGGGAGCAAACAGG